RNAcentral lists this unclassified non-coding RNA (329 nucleotides) under soil metagenome. Its description in RNAcentral is "partial contains 5.8S ribosomal RNA, internal transcribed spacer 2, and large subunit ribosomal RNA". The stretch from base 1 to 120 matches the Rfam family "5.8S ribosomal RNA", at positions 35 to 154 of the family's 154-position model. The record is from RNAcentral.
GAUGAAGAACGUAGCGAAAUGCGAUAAGUAGUGUGAAUUGCAGAAUUCAGUGAAUCAUCGAAUCUUUGAACGCACAUUGCGCCCCUUGGUAUCCCGAGGGGCAUGCCUGUUCGAGCGUCAUUUCACCACUCAAGCCUGGCUUGGUGUUGGGCGACGUCCCCUUUGGGGACGCGCCUCGAAACGCUCGGCGGCGUGGCACCGGCUUUAAGCGUAGCAGAAUCUUUCGCUUUGGAAGUCGGGGCCCCGUCUGCCGGAAGACCUACUCGCAAGGUUGACCUCGGACCAGGCAGGGAUACCCGCUGAACUUAAGCAUAUCAAUAAGCGGAGGA